UCCUGCACGUUCAGUUUUGUUUACACGGAACAGCUGCGUCAGCGUAACUACGCCCCUUUCGAAAUCAAACCUAAGUCGAUCGACUUGAGAGAGAGCUUGCUAACCAUAGUCCGUGCAAAUUGGGUGCGUUCAGACAAAGCCCUUCCUUCCCAGUGCCCCCCACUCAGCACCACCCCAGUUUUCACGGUAGACGGGGCUGCAGUGGGAGCGGUAGGAUUUACCCCUACAUGAGGAGCGCUUUAAAGUCACUCUAAGGGGGGAGGGGAGAGCUCUCUCCCUCCAAAUGCAAGCGAUCCGGCAGCUCUUGCCCCGUGUGUGUGUGAGCACGGCAAGGAGGACGCCAGGCAGACAUGCACAACCCCCUCGGGCACGUUUCCAUUGCUCUAAGGACAAGUGACAGCCACACACCCAGCCUGCAGAGGCGCGCCGCUCUCGGCGUUAAACGCGCGCAACGCCUAGAAAUGACGCUCUCUUCUGCUCGCCACUGAGCUGUAAAGUGCUCGCUACGGGCUGUCCUACCUUUCGGAGGCUGUGGUGCUGAGCCAGUAACUUCAUCAAGACUUAUUUUUUGGCAUCAUCCUAGCAAACUGGAGAUGCAAAGCCAGUGACCUCAGUCUUUGAAUGGCAGAUUUAGUUAUACAGCUAAAUAGCACCACUCCUCCUCCUGACUUGCCUACCUUUGGACUCUAUAUUCUGUUUACAGCUAAAUUGACUCUUCUCAGUUUUUGAUAGCUCUAUUUAUAAAAAAGAACAAGAAUAACUGAGAAGUCCAGAAAGCAGCAGUGCAAGUUUCUGAAAAUGAUCUGACAAUGUGUCUGAACCCUGAAGUAGAAAGAUCCAGUCCACGAAGGAGACAAUUCUUGUCCUGUGAGCUGAGACCUCAGACUUUAUGGAUCCACUGAGCUUUGAUUUGUAUUCUCAUAACAUGCUGUCAGAAAAGCUAACUAAAUACUCAUACAAAAAGAUGUAUCUUUGGAAUGCUAUAAACAUUUCUUUGUGCUUAAAGAACAAGUUGACAGUUCCAAAAAAUGUUGAGAUGAAAAUUAUUCUGUGAAUAUACAGAAAAGGUUUGAAAAAUUAACAUUUAAAAAACCCUAGAUGAAUUGGAUUUUAAGCUAGUUUAAUUGCAUUUUAUGUAUAGUCUUUCCCAUUCAUAUAUGGAACUAAUCUAAUAUGAAACGCAGCAUCAAGCAGAAAGUUAUUUAAGCUUAUCAAAUUGAUUAUAUAAUUAUAUAAUUGAUUAUAGUACAUAAUUAACACAUUCACAUUGUUUUCUUUGUUUAUUUAUACUUUGUGAUUAGUUGUUAUAAGGUUAUCUGGGCUGCAAUCCUUUAAAGUCUUACUCCCAUGUUGAACUUUAAGCAUGUGAGUAAGUCCCAUUGAGUUAAUUGGGACUAUUUCCAUACUCAAAAUUAUGCAUGUGUAUAAGUCAUCACAGGACUGGAGCCUUAAUUUUGUGUAUUUUAAAUAUUUGUACAAUUCUUAUAAUCAGCAUUUUUAAAAAAAAAUUAAUUCAUCCAUUAAUUAUAUAUAAAUGUAUUGUGUUAAGUUGGUUGAAAUGCAUAACGCUUUAAUGUAAUAAUAAUCCUAAAUUUUAAAAGAAAGUAUGCUAAAGAAAUAUUCUUAGUUAGAACUGUAUGAUGUAGGAUGUUAACUUGAGGUUAACUGAUGAAAAAACCCAUGGAUAGUCUUGUAUGAACACAAGUCAGAUGAUAGAUCAGCAAAGUUUUCUGUAUGAAUAUAGGCCAGAGGUUCUCAAACUAUGGUGGUCCGCAAGCUCCAUUCAGGUGGUCUUUGGAUAGUUCCCCCUAAUGUGCAUGCCUGGGCAGUCGCACGAGAGAAUGAAGAGCCACCCACCUAAUUAUUGGAGCUGCGCAGGUGAAGAUGCUGGAUGCUGGAGAAGAUACACAUUUAAGGUGAA
Molecule: long non-coding RNA, 1921 nt
Organism: Gopherus evgoodei (Goodes thornscrub tortoise)
Lineage: Eukaryota; Metazoa; Chordata; Testudines; Testudinidae
Exons: 4
Source: RefSeq, a predicted model, not a curated record